AUACCGGCCGGUGGGGUUUCAUUUUUCCUAGUUUCGGACUUGUCUAGCGACACUCUUUGGAUACUGUAGUGUCAAAGGAAUACUUGGUACUAGGAUUUGAGCUGACUCUCAUAUAACCGAAGCGUCAAUAGAGAGGAGCAGUAUAUUGGUUAUGGUGUGUUCAUAUCGUCACACAAAAUUUUGCACUUCAAGAGAUGUAUCAUUGUUCUGGACUCGAGAAAAUUGCAGACUGUAGACUGAGUGCAGUUCAUGAAUGUUAUGCUUAUCAUUCAUAUGAAAACGACAUCAUAGCUGUAGUUUUUGUUGUUGGCUCCAGGACACAUGUGAGCUCCUAGUAAGGUGUGCUUCCUGAUGCCUUUUGUGAUCAAUGUGUGCUCUUUCUGCUGCUCCCCAUGCAUCAAAAUAGUUUGUGCAAAUAAGUUUGUAGAUAAUUUGGACCUAACAGUAUAUAAUUCAGCUUGUGUGUACCCUAGAGGUUGAGCUGUUGAGUGUCGGGCUUUGGGAUCAUUCAAUAAGCUUCAACUUUAAUGGUGAUCUCUUUUGGUGAAUGACUGGGAUUGUUGCUUAGACCGGUGUAUGCUUAAUUGCUGAUACAUUAUCAAGUAGUGAACUAGAAAAAUAUUUAGGAGUUUCUCAACUUCAUUAAUUCAGGACCACUAAUUAAUGUUCUAGAUAAUCUAUUUCCUCAAUUGGUAGCUUGAUUUAUACACUACUGCAUAUUUCUAAUUCAUGUGUAUCACAAUUCUGUUCUUCUAGUCAUUGUGCGCCUGAAUGUGUCCUCGCAGACCCAAUUAGAAUAUUACAGGUUUUUAUCAUUUUCUUGCCCGCGUUUUGACUUUUGAGUUCUAGAUGCAUUUUCGUUUUUGUGACAAAGCAAGAUCACAUAUACAUAUUCUUAUGCGUUCUCAUUAUGUACGCUUGGUCAAAACAUGUAAGCUGCUAUUGCUUGUGAGCAGAUUUGCUGAAUGAUAAGUCCACGUAGGACAAUAUCGACCUGUUAACAUUCAUAUUUAAUGAUAGUAGAAAACCGUGACGGUUACUUUACACAUUUUGAGAAAACAGACUUGCUAGGCUGUAGUAGAUGCAUGAUUGCUGCCUGUAGAGCUGACCAUCAUGUUUCUUUCUUGUGCAACGAUAUCGGAGGCUACAUGGUAGCUGGGACAUGUAGCUGUCUGAAUGCAUCACUUGGAAGCUGGAAGACCCGGCCUGGGACCCUUUGCCUAGGUUGUCACCAUGGAGGUCAAUGGUCAUCAAAACCUAGAAGACGGGCAGAGAGCAAUGGUGUAAAACCACUCAAUAAUUUUGAUGAAGUUGAUCAAUGGACGGCGUGGCGUAGAAACCACGGACGAUAUCAUUGUUACUGAUGGGAAACCUACCUUUUAAUAUAUUAAUUUGCCAAGGUUGUCACCAUGGAUAUCAAUGGUCAUCACAAACCUAGAAGACGACAGAGAGUAAUUGUGCAAAACCACUCAAUAAUUUUGGUGUAGUUGAUCCAUGGACGGCGUGGCGUACAAACCACAGACAAUAUCAUUGUUAACUGAUGGGAAACCUGCCUUUUAAUGAGAUCCUUCGGUGGAGGUAACAGAGGAGAGUUGCGACACCUCCCAGGAAGCAAAGUGCAUUGCGAAUAGCCAUGUGAUUGUCAUUGGUGUCAACAUUGGCAUCGGUGGGAAGCGCAAACCCGCUGCCUCAUGUGGUCCUGCUGCCUUGUGAUGGCGGUAGCCUCAGUGCACGACAACCAUGGCACUGUCAGUGUUGUGCUUUUUGUACAACCGUAUGAUGGUAGAUCCUUUGGUGGAGGUUACCGAGGAUAAUCAGGACGAAGGAAAGUGUAUGGCUAUUCGGCUCUAACAGUGAUGCUGCUAAUGGUCUUCGACAACCCUGUGACGUUCAUCCAUGGCUACACACCUCCGGUUAAUAAUGAGCCUUCGAUAGCGCCUCUCCAUUGAACCUGGAGUUGCUGAUGCCGGCGAGAGCUGCAGUAGUGCUGUUGCAGCUGGGCUAGCUGUGGCCGCUCGCGUGUUGGUAGGCUCGGCUGCCCCGGACUUUGACUACCUCGUUGGCACCACACCGCAACCUUGAUGGUGGUUACUAUCGUCCUCGGCUACACCCCGCUGUGGUGAGCUCCUCGAGCUUCCUUCUUCCAUGUGGUAGCACUGUCAUUGCCGCUGCGGUUCUGUGCUCCACCUUUGUGCGGUUUGGUUCAUAUUUCUCUGUUUUACUCCAUUAAUUUGGUUGUUGUAAAAAAUUAAUCUUGAGAUAUGUAAGUGUCUGCAUCA
Lolium perenne is the source of this 2279-nucleotide non-coding RNA. The record is from RefSeq and is a predicted model, not a curated record. Lineage: Eukaryota; Viridiplantae; Streptophyta; Magnoliopsida; Poales; Poaceae.